RNAcentral lists this transfer RNA (74 nucleotides) under Rhodothermaceae bacterium. RNAcentral describes it as "tRNA-Pro". It matches the Rfam family "tRNA". From Rfam's summary of the family: Transfer RNA (tRNA) molecules are approximately 80 nucleotides in length. Their secondary structure includes four short double-helical elements and three loops (D, anti-codon, and T loops). RNAcentral also lists the same sequence under 2 other names. The record is from RNAcentral. Lineage: Bacteria; Pseudomonadati; Rhodothermota; Rhodothermia; Rhodothermales; Rhodothermaceae.
CGGGACGUAGCGCAGUCCGGUAGCGCACUUGCAUGGGGUGCAAGGGGUCGUGGGUUCAAAUCCCGCCGUCCCGA